UGGGUCUCUAUGGGGCACUUAUGGGGCACAGAGGUGGCUAUGGGGCAGUUAUGGGUCUCUGUGGGUCUCUAUGGGGCACUUAUGGGGCACAGAGGUGGCUAUGGGGCACUUAUGGGUCUCUAUGGGGCACUUAUGGGGCACAGAGGUGGCUAUGGGGCAGGUAUGGGUCUCCAUUGCAUUCUAUGGGGCAGUUAUGGGUCUCAGUGGGUUUCUAUGGGGCACUUAUGGGGCACAGAGGUGGUUAUGGGGCACUUAUGGGUCUCUGUGGGUCUCUAUGGGGCACUUAUGGGUCUCUAUGGGGCGGCUAUGGGUCUCUAUGGGGCAGCUAUGGGGCUCUAUGGGGAUCCCUUUAGCCCCUCCCCCUCCCCUUUAGCCCCGCCCCCAUUUCCCUCUAGCCCCGCCCCUUUCCCCUUUAGCCCCGCCCCCCUCCCUAGCCCCGCCCCUCACCCCCCAACAUGACCUCUAGUGACCCCAGCCACACCGUAACCUUAGCCCCGCCCCGUUUCGCCUUAAGCCCCGCCCCUCCCCAUUCAAGCCGCCGUGGGGGGGCGUGGCCUGCGAGCCAAGGGGCGUGACCUGCGGGCCCGGGGGGCGUGGCCUCCCAUCUCCCCCCUCCCCACGGAGCGCCGCGGCCCCAUCACGUGGCCACUCCCCCUUCCCAGGUGAAGGCGCAGCGCUGU
Molecule: long non-coding RNA, 680 nt
Filed under: Numida meleagris (helmeted guineafowl)
Lineage: Eukaryota; Metazoa; Chordata; Aves; Galliformes; Numididae
Description: lncRNA (ENSNMEG00000002861.1)
Source: RNAcentral